This is a long non-coding RNA of Sinocyclocheilus rhinocerous, 587 nucleotides long. RefSeq lists it as uncharacterized. Lineage: Eukaryota; Metazoa; Chordata; Actinopteri; Cypriniformes; Cyprinidae. The transcript is spliced from 4 exons. The record is from RefSeq and is a predicted model, not a curated record.
CAUCCCUCGUUCCUCAACUUAAUGAAGAAAACAGCCUGCCACGCUCAGAGCAGAGCGCUAAAGUACCGUCUUGGCGAACAAUCAGUCGUUCUGCCACAGACAAUGGAGACAAAUCAAGGAAAAUUCAACCUACAUAAAACAAUUAACCAUUCAAACAUCAGCCCUGUGCGCAGAGGGGAUUGUCUUCUGUGAUGAAUCCUCAAUUUGAGCUAAUUCUUACCAAGAACCGCCCACUUAAACAGGAAGUGACUGUCUGAUUGACAUUUAAAGUGACCAUCCACAGUUCUCUCACCAUAUUCGGACAAUAUUGUGCAUACAGCGCAAGAGAGGAAUCAUCUGAUGUAGAGGUCGCCAGGCCAAUAGCGACGACUGUUGGGGAUUAGCAGAAAGCUGCCAGAGCCGCUGUUUACAUUUGUGAGAUACCCUCAGGUUUCUGUUUACCUCAGAAGCUAUGAAUCCCUGCAGUUAUGUGUCUUUUUCUUUUUGUGUGACUCACCGGCUAAUAUAGAGGGAUUCCGCAACAUGAAGUUAAAUUACAGCUAAGAGCAGCAGGGAAAUGAUGGGAUAUGUCUCUCCUGUCCCACCUU